GAGAAGAAAUGCUUAAUUCUUAAGUUUUAUGUAUGGACCAAUCACAUGGUGACAAGUGUCAAGCUUUAAUAUUAUUAUAUUUUCUUUUAUAAACACAACUAAAACUCUCCCAUCUCAUUUCUCUUGGUCGGCCAAGGCAAGAACAAAAGGGAAAAAGCAUAGAACAAACCCUAGAGAAGAAAAUCAAGAGAAAAUUCAUUGGAUUUCAAGGAAUUAAGCAAGUAAAGGUAAAAUUUCUUAAUUCUAGCUUGUGAUCUACCUUUCCUAUGCAUUCUUUUUCAAUUACCAUGGUUAAAAUUCAAGAUCUCAUGAAGGAUUCAUGGCUGACCGAAUUUAGGGAGAGAAGAUUUGAUGAUUUAUUUUGUCACGACCCGGAACUCCCAUCGAGCCCGUGACAACCACCGCGAUGUCCCUAUAGACAUUCAUUACUCGGAAUGCCAAUUGAAACCUCGCAAGGCUUUAAUAUCAGUUUUCGCACCUCCCCUGUGAGGAACAGUUGUUAAGUAUUAUGUUUUGAGAGAUUAUAAACUAUUUCCAAAUCAAAACAAUAGAAAAAUAAUUUUUUCUCACAGGGACAUUUUGGUCAUUUUGUCUCAAAAAUUCCGAAACCAACUAAAAAUGUAGUGUAUGAGAGAAAUUUACAUAUUUCAUAAUCGAAAAUAAGUUUAGAAAACUAAAACAUUCAUUUAAAGUGAAAUUAUGACUAAUGGAAUAAAACAAAAAUAAUGAAUAAAAUAUUAUAAUUUUUCAUAAAACAAUUUUUAUAGAACAUUACGUAAAUAAUUUUUACAGCGUAAAAGCAAAAUAAAUUCCUACAUAUAGUAGCACACGCAGCCAAGUAUUCAAAACAUUUAACAAUGACAUGGGGGCCCCCGAAUGACUAAAAGUAAUGAAGGCUAUGAACCUACAGUUUUUUAGGAAGCAAGUCCAACUGUAGCCCUCAAUGAAAUGAGCUAUCUACCGACUAUCCUAAGCCUAAAAUGGGUGGAAAGGAGGGUGGUGAGAUUAUAUAAUCACAGUGAGUAAACAAACACCAUCUAAAAUAUCUAAAGUCGAGUAAAUGGAGACAGAUAAAAUAGAUUAGCAUAAAAAUGAUUCUCAGUAUUUUGAACUCAUUUUAAUAAGAUAAAAUAGAUUCAUUUCACCAAAAUAAACAACGAGGCUUAUGAUUUCCUUUGGCUCGUGCCAAAAUCAUUCUCAUACUCAGGUGUUAGGGAUACCUUGGCCUGGGGCUAUCCCAACCGAGUCCGCCAAGGCUGUUAAAAGGUCAUAUACGCAUAAAUCAUGUUUUUAUUUUGGAAACAUAGCCUAUUCCUUGGCGUUGGCUGAGUUCACCCUCACGUGGUGGUUUGGCGUGAAGUGAACUCUAAAGUUGUACCUCGGGAGUUACCCUACGCGCCUCCCCAAUCGAGGUAAGAAUAUAACAGGAUUUCGUGCCCCUCAAAAAGGCUGGUCCAUAGAACCUGCCCACUGCAGCAAGCUAAACUCACCAUACAAUAAAAAUUCAAUAGCAUGACAUGGCAAUUUUAUCAUUAUCCAACCUAUCAAGGCAAACAACAGUUUAUACAUUUUCAACACAAAUACCAAUUCAGCCAUUCAUGCAAAUAUUGUCAUAAGCCAUUCGAUUCAAACCACGAAUUUACAACACAUGAAAACAGUCUCCAAUUACUCUAUUUUCAAACCAUCAUUCAAUUUCAAGACAAUGUUAUAAAAUCAUUUCAUUAAAUCACAUUUUAAUUACAAACACAAAGAUUUACCAUUUAACUCAUUUUUCUAUCAAAUCACAAAAUCGGAUAAAAACCACUUUAGAUAAUUAAGAUGACAGUAAGGUUACUCACUAUUUCAGGAGUCGAAUUUCGAGUACUCCGAUUCUUGAUCCUCGGGUACUAUCUUUUUACUUUUGCCAGAAUGCUCACCACCUAGACAUAAUGCACAAUAAGCCAUUUACUACAUUUGUGCUAAAUUGUUAUAAAAUCAAUUCAGGCUUUAUACUAAUGCAUGAAAUGGGAUGUGAAAUACUCAAGUAACUAUCUAAAUACGGUGUUCAAUAUAAAUUCAAUUAUGUACCUAAAUAAAAUGGUACUGGCCUAAUUCGAUCUAUCACCUGAUUAAUUGGCCAAUAUGUCCAAUUUAAUUCCAAUUAACUCCAUUUUUCUUCCAAUUCUCCAAACCAUCAAACACAAGUCAAAUAGCAUAAAAUUUAGCAAAAUCAUCUUCACAUUUUCUCUUGAGAAUUUCGGCCAUGGUGGGUGCAUCAACACUAUGAUUUUUCCAACUUGAUUUUUUCACCGUAAUUCAUCAUUUCCUAACCAAUUCACUUGAAAUAAAAUCAAAUCCACCAUCCACACUUUACAUGGAAGAUUCGGCCAAUGAUGAGUGGUGGGAGGAAGUGAAUUUUUCUUGUUGGCUUUUCAUGCUACACAUCACUAACUAACUAAAAACACUAAAAUACAUUGAAAUCUAACCAAAUCAAGCAUCAAAACCUCCCUCUAAGUGUUCGGCCAGCAAGGGAUUCAUCAUGAUUUCAUGUGUUUCAACCAUGGAAAAUAACAAAAAAUGAUUAAGAAAGAGAGAUCUCAAGCUUAAUUGAAAAAAUCUCACCUUUUUUCACUUGUUUCUUUGAAUUUUCACACUUUUCCCUUGAAUUUUUCCACUUAGGGUUUUGUUCUUCCUUGUUCUUGCUUCUUCUUGGUGAGGUCGAC
This 2702-nucleotide long non-coding RNA is filed under the name Theobroma cacao (cacao). RNAcentral describes it as "long non-coding RNA (TCAC_LNC001859)". The record is from RNAcentral. Lineage: Eukaryota; Viridiplantae; Streptophyta; Magnoliopsida; Malvales; Malvaceae.